AGUAUGCAUGACUGUACAUCUCUUUGGAUAAAAGCAUCUGCUAAAUGGCAUAUA
Salmo salar (Atlantic salmon) is the source of this 54-nucleotide non-coding RNA. Lineage: Eukaryota; Metazoa; Chordata; Actinopteri; Salmoniformes; Salmonidae. The record is from Rfam.